This 6036-nucleotide long non-coding RNA is filed under the name Nicotiana tabacum (common tobacco). RNAcentral describes it as "long non-coding RNA (NTAB_LNC012920)". Lineage: Eukaryota; Viridiplantae; Streptophyta; Magnoliopsida; Solanales; Solanaceae. The record is from RNAcentral.
AUAAUUGUAUCUCAACCGCACGAAACUGUCUUUCGUGCCACAAUUUGAGUCCAAUUCAAGUAUCCAAAUAUAACACAUAUGUUUGUGCCUAAGAAUUAAUAGAUAAAAGAUGCACAGGAACUUAAUAAUAAUCAUGUGAAUAUGUGCUCAAGAAAUUUCUAUAUGACAGCAGAUGAUUCAAGCAAUUCAACAUAUCAAGAACAAGCUCCCAUAUCUUCAUAAAUAACCAUAAAUCUGGGUAUGAUCUCAAACACGAAUAAGAGGUGAAUGUAUUCAUACAAGUCAAACAAAUCAUAAGUCAAGAUGAGCACAUAAUUAAAAAAAGGCAUAAAGUAUCUCAAUUGUACCCGGACAUGAUAUAAUUUUUGUAAGUGCAUAUACGCUCGACAUCCCGUAUAUACAUACCCCCAAUACCAUAAACACAUAACAAUCAAGUAAAAUCCUAGGGGUUUCCCUCUUAAUAAGAUUAGCCAUGAGACUUACCUCUUUCUUGCCUAGCCUCAAUCAAAAAUUGCGUCAAAACCUCGCUCCAGCCCUCAAUCAUGAAAAUCCAAGUCAAGCUUCAUCCAAGGAAGUCAAACAAUGUUAUAGGAAGUGAAUAGAACUUCAAUCUUUGAUGAAUUCCCAAAAAGUCAACCUGGACGCAUGUGCCCGAAAUUCGAAACCAUUACUAAAAUCCGAUGACCCAUAACCUACUGAGUCGAAAUAUAAUUAGAUCCAAAUCCGGAUCUAAUCGAUGGUCAAAAUUACAAAAUACAAUCUCUUAAAAGUAUAGGCAAAAACCCCAAAUUUUCUUUCAAUAUUUUUGGAUGUAGGAGUCCAUGUAGAUCUUUGAAUUAUAAUCACAAAUAGGUAGAAAUCACUUUCCCUCUUGCCUUGCAUGAAAAUCCCCAUGAAAAAUCACCUAUUUCCAAGUCUAUGGCUUAGAAUAUGAGAGCCUGAGUAAAAGUCUUGAAAUAAUAUCUUAAAUAAUCUGCCCAGAAGUACCCUUCGCGAACAUGGCACAAGUUUCGCAUUCGCGAAGCACAAAACACUGCUGCUCAGGAAAAUGCUCUACGCGAUCGCGAAAGAGGCCAUGCAAUCGCGAAGGCCUGCUGCUCUCACAACAUCGCGAAGCGUCUGACCAACCGCGAAUGCAUUAACCAGACACCGGCCACGCUCCCGUUCUACGCGAACACAAUUAGAGACAUGUGAACUCGUAUACCAGUCUGCUUACAACACGUGAACGUGAAGGAACCAUUGCGAACACGAAGCACAAAGCCCUGAUUGGCCAAAUUCUUCUCUGCAAUCUUGAUCCUAGCUCCGCGAUCGCGAAGCACUCCAGAAUACCAGCAACACAGCAGCUCCAAACUCAACCAAAAUGGUCUGAAACCAUCCCCAAACACACCUGAGCCCCUCGAGACUCCGUCCAAUCAUGAAAACAAGUCCAAAUACAUUAUCCAAAUUUAUUCAAAGACUUGAAACAUUGCAAAUAAUAUUAAAACCACGAAUCGAAGAUUAAAAUUAUUCUCUUAACUUUCGAACAUGCCUAUUUCGUCGAACUCAUCCGAAUUACGCUCAGACAUUCCGGAUUACAGUUAAAUUUUGCACACGUAUUCCAUCCAACUAAAUGAAAAUUUUCAAGGUCUCAAAAACACAAUCCGAGUCUGAUAACACCAAAGUCAACUUCCGUUUAAACUUAUGAACUUUUUAAAUUUUUUAAAUAGCAGAAUAGCCUAGUAGACACUUGUACUUGUCCCACUUGGUUAUGCCGGUCCCAGUACUCUAUAGUUUGCCAAUUGAACACUUAUACUUGUUCAAAUUCUAUAUAUUGAUAUUAUGGUAUUAAUCAUGAUAUUAUGGUAUAUUUGGGGAAGAUAGAGGAAUCUUGAAUGCCUUUCCAGAUAAAAAAUUAGGGUUUUUUGAACAAGUAUAAGUGUUCAAUUGGCAAACUAUAGAGUACUGGGACCGGCAUGACCAAGUGGGACAAGUACAAGUGUCUACUAGGCUAUUCUGCCUUUUAAAAUUGCCAACUUUCAAUAAAUAGAGCUAAAACCUUCUAGGAAUAUCCAAAUUCAUAUCCGAACAUGCGCCCAAGUACCAUCACACAAACCCAUUGAAAUCAUCAAUCCCAAUUCCAAGGUCGUUUACUCAAAGUCAAACUUUGGUCAACUUUUCAUACUUAAAGUUUCCAAAUCGAGAACCAUUCUAUCAAAUCAAUUCGAACCAUAUGAAUAUUAAAACUAACCAUAUACGCAAGUCAUAAUACAGCAUAUGAAGCUACUCAAGAGCUUAAAUCAUCGAACGAAAUGCUAAAACUCAAAAUAACUGAUCAGGUCAUUACAAGAACAAAUUAUUUGAUUUGGCACCAUCUAUCUAGUAAUAAGUAUGUUUUAUAUUACUUUUUUCUUUGUUUACUGUAUAAACGAUAUUUGCUAUACAUUUAUUUCAUGUUAGUUAUAAAAGUUACAUUUAAUGUAAAUGACUUCAUGAUGAAACCAAAUAAAGCAUUAUUAUUAUUAUCAUUCUAUAAAAUAUGAUACCAACAUUAAUUAAACGCCAAAACUUUAAUGCAACAUUUUUCUAAGUUGUAAAUGAUAUAUCACUAAUUUUUUAAUGAAUAUCACGUAAAGUACAUACGAUAUUUCGUAAAUGUUGCAAAUCUUCUCAUUGGCAUUCAACAAACUGUCAGAAAUUUCAAAACUAUAUUUUAUAAAGGUCACACGUAAAUGUCAUAUUUUUUUACUAUAUUGCUUUAUAUGUCGGAAAUUUUAAGUGACGUUUCCGGGAUGUCGUAAACUAAAUGUUGUAAAAUUCUUACGAUAUUUACCUAAAUAUCAUAAAAUUUUAUAGACAACAACAACAACCCAGUAAUAAUCUCACUAGUAGGGCAGGGGAGGAUAGAGUGUAUGCAGAUCUUAUCCCUACUUCGAGGGUAGAGAGACUGUUUUUGGGAGACCCUCGACUCAAAGACAUUUACCGACAUUUGAUGCAAUUUUUUAUAGACAUUUACCUAUAUGUCGUAGAAUAAGUGUCGUAAAUUUCUUAUCGACAUUUAUGUGUCGUAAAUUUCUUACCGACAUUUGAUGCAGAUGUAAAUUAAAUGUAGGUAGACGAACUUGUGACAUAAAAUAAUGUAAUACGAUAUUUAUUAAAUGUCGUCAUAUCUGCACUUUCUUGUAAUGUUUGAAGGAAAAUCCUACGAGAGUAUGUCGUAGUUUUUUACUCCCUUUAUACAAGGAGGUUUUCUACGUAAAAAUUAUUGUGGUCUUUCACUACUAAAAAAACUGAAAUUAGCUACGAACUGCGCCGCUAAAUCGCUCGUAGCUAACAGAUUUUUUUGGUAAAUUCGCUAAUCCGUCGCUAAGUAGGACGGAUUUUGCUGUUUAGCUAUAUAAUUUUUUCGUCGCUAUUUCCUAUUAUUUUUUAGUAGUAUUUAUAUUCUGCACUUUACUAGUUGUUUCUAUCUGUUUUGGGUGUAUCAAAAAACUUGAUUCUUCGUAAAAUCGGAUAAGACACAAUUCACCUUCUUUCUUCUUGUGUCUAGGUGCACACUAAAAUAAUAAGAUUGUACUUAACUUGUGGUUCCUGUCGUACACGGAAAUAAGAGCAAGGCUAUGUUCUAGUAAUUAAACUAGAUCCUUAUGUGAAACUCCUGUUGGAAUACACUUUCACGACUCUACCACCCAGUUAAUUCUAUUCCACUUAAUUCCUCUUUCAUGGCCAUAUAUCAUUCCGGCUAAGAAAUGGAAAAUCUUUUAUCUACACGCCUUUAUCAACGCUGUUUUUCGAUCGGAAGACCGAAAGCUAAUUAUCGAGACUUUGAACUAUCCGUACACAUUAGUUCAUACAUGUUUGUUGCCAGGAGCAACAAGAAAUGAAUGAUGUUGCUAGUUCUAGUUAAGAGAAAGGAUUUAUUAUGUAAAGUUUUUCACCGACUAAAUAAUAAAGUAAAUAAAUCCAAACUUGAAGAGAGCUAAUGCCACACCCCUUUUUUAACAAACUUCACUAAACCCUCUUAAUAAAAGGAUUUCGCAAAAAAAGCUUAAAAAAAGUUUUCAAUUUGAAAAGUGACAAAAUUGUGUGUUCAAAAGGAUUAACUUUAGAGUCGCCACCUGCCACCUGACAUUUGAUUUCGGUGUGUCAGGUCACCGUUUUUCCAAAAAUAAUAAUUUUCCUUUCAAGACACUUUGAACUCUAAAACUAAGUCUACACCAGAAUUUGGGUAAGGGGGUUCAUUUGACUGGGGGAGAAGGUGUUAGGCAUUCCCCGAGUCCCGUGAAAGUCACGGUUGUGUACUCGAUCUAGUUGGCUUUUAAAAUAUUCAAGUUGAGGUGGAAUCAUGGAAAAGCAAAAUAAACACACACGAAGCUCGAGGUCGUCCCCACCUAAUAAAAAAGAAAAGUAAAAAUAAAAAUAAAAAUAAAAUACUACAAGUUCUACUAUCGAUCUCCAAGUACAAAUACUUCAGGGCAUACCCCGAAAUAAAAUAUAUACAAAUCCUUCGGAGCAUUCCCCGGAUAAAUUUAACUAAAAAAACAACCUCGAAACUAACAAAAUCCUUGGUUAGGCAGUAGCCGGCCUAAACAUGGUCCUAAUGAAUGAUGCGACAAAGUAAAUAAAAGGGACAUAAAUAGAAGAAAAAUUCAACUCAUGGUCAUGUUCUUUUAUCCUUCAUUCACUUAACUAUAAUCCCCCGUGACAAGUAGGUGCACCAAACAUUGAUCCAACAAACCAAACAAAGAACCUAAUCAGAUAAAUGUUCGCACAUUUAAAGGAGAGGGCCAACUAGGGAAAACUAUGGCACAUCUACUAAGGACAGUGAAUAAAUCUAUCCAAAGAGCAUCGAAGUUUUCUAUCACCCCAUUUUUCUGUUAGUUCCUCAUCAGGCAAAAUACAGGCUAAGCAAGCUUAUAUUAAUUAAUCUUCCAAAUCAAUUGCAUGUGACCGAACAAGUCUAACAAAGCACUAGCAUAGAAUUAAUUACUAAACAUAGCAGGAAAAGACAAUCGAAUGAAAGCCAAAUAUUCACAGGACUAGCAUGGUAAAUGUCACAGUAAAAGAUAAUGAAGCUUUCAAACAGUCAUUCAUGUGCUUAAACAACCAGAAGGAAAAGAAAAUGCACCAAAACUUGCCGUUCGUCUACUAAAAUAUUUUUAGGAGUCAAGUAAGUUAGACACAAAAUGACCAUUUACAGAAAGCAUGGAAAAGAACCUCGGACAAAGCUAUAGAAGUGCUAGUCAAUCACUUUCACUGUUUUUUAAUCUUCACUAUCAAAAGUUUACUCCGAACAGAAAGAAUAUUUCAUUGGAACGAAUACUCCAAACAGUCAACACAAAUUCACAUGAUGGUAUUGCAGCAAUAUGUAACCCAAAUAAAACUAGCCAUGACUCAAACUUCAGAAAACUCAUCACAAAAAGCUGAAGAGGGAACAAUAAUAGGAAUAACACAUAUUACACUAAGAUGAACUAACAAACUCCAGCCAUCAUUAGUGUUUUAAUUCACACUCUUAGACAUAAGAAGAAAAGAGAAAGAGAUGAACCUGUUAAAGCUUUUCAAUUAAUCUCUCGGAAAAUUACAACAGUUAAAAUGAGCAACGACGACGAACUGCAACCGGAAGACUCGAACAGCAAUUCCACAAAUCGAACAUCCAACUCUGCUUCACUCCGUUUCGAAAAUCCGAAUCACAAAGAAGAGACCACAAUAUUUGUUUUCGUCAUUUUAAAAUUGAAUCAAAAUCAGAGAAUCAGGACCAAACCAUUAAACCUUUCCUAUUUUUUCUAAAAAAAAUCUCUAUUUCGAUUUUUCCUCCUCUCCAAGACUCCCUAUUUUCUGAUUAUUUUUUUUUUUGAUUUUUUUUUUUUUGACUCUUUGAAAUAAAAGAAAAAAACAGAAGCAAACCCAGAAAAAGGAAAAAUAGAUCUCUGAAAAUCAAACCCUCCUCUUUUCUCCAAUUUUCUCUGUCUCCUUUCAAUCUCUAUCCAGACCCAAAUAUAUAGCACCCUCCCGAAGCUUCUCUCCUUCCUCUGCAAGAAAUCGCAAAAACCCCUCAAAAAU